Molecule: ribosomal RNA, 326 nt
Filed under: uncultured bacterium
Lineage: Bacteria
Description: bacterial SSU rRNA
Rfam family: Bacterial small subunit ribosomal RNA
Source: RNAcentral
GAUGAACGCUGGCGGCGUGCCUAAUACAUGCAAGUUGUGCGGUAACAGAGAGAGCUUGCUCUCUGCUGACGAGCGGCGGACGGGCAGAGUAACGCGUAGGAACAUACCCCAAACUGAGGGAUAACUGCUCGAAAGAGUAGCUAAUACCGCAUGUGGUCUUCGGAUUAAAGCUUCGGCGGUUUGGGAGUGGCCUGCGUCCGAUUAGCUAGUUGGUGAGGUAAUUGCUCACCAAGGCGACGAUCGGUAGCUGGUCUGAGAGGAUGAUCAGCCUGACUGGAACUGAGAACGGUCCAGACUCCUACGGAGGCAGCAGUAGGGAAUUUUCC